RNAcentral lists this ribosomal RNA (381 nucleotides) under uncultured bacterium. RNAcentral's name for it is "bacterial SSU rRNA". It matches the Rfam family "Bacterial small subunit ribosomal RNA", at positions 29 to 439 of the family's 1533-position model. The record is from RNAcentral.
AGCGAACGCUGGCGGCAGGCCUAACACAUGCAAGUCGAGCGCCCAGCAAUGGGAGCGGCAGACGGGAUAGUAACACGUGGGAACGUACCUUUCAGUUCGGAACAACCCAGGGAAACUUGGGCUAAUACCGAAUACGUCCGUAAGGAGAAAGAUUUAUCGCUGAAAGAUCGGCCCGCGUCUGAUUAGCUAGUUGGUGAGGUAAUGGCUCACCAAGGCGACGAUCAGUAGCNGGUCUGAGAGGAUGAUCAGCAUCACUGGGACUGAGACACGGCCCAGACUCCUACGGGAGGCAGCAGUGGGGAAUAUUGGACAAUGGGCGCAAGCCUGAUCCAGCCAUGCCGCGUGGAUGAUGAAGGCCUUAGGGUUGUAAAGUCCUUUCGG